UGGGGAAUUUUGCACAAUGGGGGAAACCCUGAUGCAGCGACGCCGCGUGAUUUAGAAGGCCUUCGGGUUGUAAAAAUCUUUUGUAUGGGAAGAAAAUGACAGUACCAUACGAAUAAGGACCGGCUAAUUACGUGCCAGCAGCCGCGGUAAUACGUAAGGUCCGAGCGUUGUCCGGAAUCAUUGGGCGGAAAGGGUACGUAGGCGGAUAAGAAAGUUAGAAGUGAAAUCCUAUAGCUCAACUAUAGUAAGCUUUUAAAACUGCUCAUCUUGAGGUAUGGAAGGGCAAGUGGAAUUCCUAGUGUAGCGGUGAAAUGCGCAGAUAUUAGGAGGCAUACCGGUGGCGAAGGCGACUUUCUGGCCAGAUACUGACGCGGAGGUACGAAAGCGUGGGUAGCAAACAGG
RNAcentral lists this ribosomal RNA (402 nucleotides) under Verrucomicrobiota bacterium. Its description in RNAcentral is "Verrucomicrobia bacterium partial 16S ribosomal RNA". It matches the Rfam family "Bacterial small subunit ribosomal RNA", at positions 355 to 776 of the family's 1533-position model. Lineage: Bacteria; Pseudomonadati; Verrucomicrobiota. The record is from RNAcentral.